GAUGAACGCUGGCGGCGUGCCUAAUACAUGCAAGUCGAGCGAACAGACGAGGAGCUUGCUCCUCUGACGUUAGCGGCGGACGGGUGAGUAACACGUGGAUAACCUACCUAUAAGACUGGGAUAACUUCGGGAAACCGGAGCUAAUACCGGAUAAUAUAUUGAACCGCAUGGUUCAAUAGUGAAAGACGGUUUUGCUGUCACUUAUAGAUGGAUCCGCGCCGCAUUAGCUAGUUGGUAAGGUAACGGCUUACCAAGGCAACGAUGCGUAGCCGACCUGAGAGGGUGAUCGACCACACUGGAACUGAGACACGGUCCAGACUCCUACGGGAGGCAGCAGUAGGGAAUCUUCGGCAAUGGGCGAAAGCCUGACGGAGCAACGCCGCGUGAGUGAUGAAGGUCUUCGGAUCGUAAAACUCUGUUAUUAGGGAAGAACAAAUGUGUAAGUAACUAUGCACGUCUUGACGGUACCUAAUCAGAAAGCCACGGCUAACUACGUG
Molecule: ribosomal RNA, 497 nt
Filed under: uncultured bacterium
Lineage: Bacteria
Description: partial 16S ribosomal RNA
Rfam family: Bacterial small subunit ribosomal RNA
Source: RNAcentral